RNAcentral lists this small nuclear RNA (143 nucleotides) under Echinops telfairi (small Madagascar hedgehog). Its description in RNAcentral is "U2 spliceosomal RNA (ENSETEG00000024927.1)". It matches the Rfam family "U2 spliceosomal RNA", at positions 43 to 185 of the family's 192-position model. Rfam says of the family: U2 is a small nuclear RNA (snRNA) component of the spliceosome (involved in pre-mRNA splicing). Complementary binding between U2 snRNA (in an area lying towards the 5' end but 3' to hairpin I) and the branchpoint sequence (BPS) of the intron results the bulging out of an unpaired adenosine, on the BPS, which initiates a nucleophilic attack at the intronic 5' splice site, thus starting the first of two transesterification reactions that mediate splicing. Lineage: Eukaryota; Metazoa; Chordata; Mammalia; Afrosoricida; Tenrecidae. The record is from RNAcentral.
UUUUCAUUAAUUUAAUAGCUGAUACAUCCUCUAUCCGAGGACAAUAUAUUAAAUGGGUUUCUGGAGCAAAGGAUAUGGAAUAGGAGCUUGCUCUGCCCACUAUGCGCAUGACCUGACAUUGCAGUACUUCCCAGGAACAGUGC